Molecule: ribosomal RNA, 353 nt
Filed under: Salmonella enterica subsp. enterica serovar Newport
Lineage: Bacteria; Pseudomonadati; Pseudomonadota; Gammaproteobacteria; Enterobacterales; Enterobacteriaceae
Also listed under: 1 other name
Description: bacterial LSU rRNA
Rfam family: Bacterial large subunit ribosomal RNA
Source: RNAcentral
CCCUAAGGCGAGGCCGAAAGGCGUAGUCGAUGGGAAACGGGUUAAUAUUCCCGUACUUGGUGUUACUGCGAAGGGGGGACGGAGAAGGCUAUGUUGGCCGGGCGACGGUUGUCCCGGUUUAAGCGUGUAGGUGUGUGUUCCAGGUAAAUCCGGUUCACUUUAACACUGAGGCGUGACGACGAGGCACUACGGUGCUGAAGCAACAAAUGCCCUGCUUCCAGGAAAAGCCUCUAAGCAUCAGGUAACAUCAAAUCGUACCCCAAACCGACACAGGUGGUCAGGUAGAGAAUACCAAGGCGCUUGAGAGAACUCGGGUGAAGGAACUAGGCAAAAUGGUGCCGUAACUUCGGGAG